AGAGUUUGAUCCUGGCUCAGGAUGAACGCUAGCGGCGCGCCUUAUGCAUGCAAGUCGAACGGUCUCUCGCAAGAGAGAUAGUGGCAAACGGGUGAGUAAUAGAUGAAUAACCUGCCUUUAAGUGGGGGAUAACACUUCGAAAGAAGUGCUAAUACCGCAUGUGAUGCUCUUUCAUAAGAAAGAUCAUUAAAACCGCAAGGUGCUUGAAGAGGGGUUUGUCUCCGAUUAGCUUGUUGGUGGGGUAACGGCCUACCAAGGCAAUGAUCGGUAGCUGGUCUGAGAGGAUGGUCAGCCACACUGGAACUGAGACACGGUCCAGACUCCUACGGGAGGCAGCAGCAAGGAAUCUUGGGCAAUGGGCGAAAGCCUGACCCAGCGACGCCGCGUGAGGGAUGAAUGCCUUCGGGUUGUAAACCUCUUUUCUCAGGGAAGAAUAAUGACGGUACCUGAGGAAUAAGUCUCGGCUAACUACGUGCCAGCAGCCGCGGUAAUACGUAGGAGGCGAGCGUUAUCCGGAUUUAUUGGGCGUAAAGUGGGCGUAGGUGGUCUUUCAAGUCAGAUGUGAAAUCUCCCGGCUCAACUGGGAGGGGUCAUCUGAUACUGUUGGACUUGAGUAUGGCAGGAGAAAACGGAAUUCCCGGUGUAGUGGUGAAAUGCGUAGAUAUCGGGAGGAACACCAGAGGCGAAGGCGGUUUUUCUAGGCCAAAACUGACACUGAGGCCCGAAAGCGUGGGGAGCGAACAGGAUUAGAUACCCUGGUAGUCCACGCCCUAAACACUGGGUACUAGGUAUAGGGAGUAUCGACCCUUUCUGUGCCGAAGCUAACGCUUUAAGUACCCCGCCUGGGGAGUACGGUCGCAAGACUAAAACUCAAAGGAAUUGACGGGGGCCCGCACAAGCAGCGGAGCGUGUGGUUUAAUUCGAUUCUACACGAAGAACCUCACCAGGGUUUGACAUGUUAGAAGUAGUGAACCGAAAGGGGAACGACCUGUUAAGUCGGGAGCUAUCACAGGUGCUGCAUGGCUGUCGUCAGCUCGUGCCGUGAGGUGUAUGGUUAAGUCCUGCAACGAGCGCAACCCUUAUUGCUAGUUAUAUUCUCUAGCGAUACUGCCUCGCAAAACGGGGAGUAAGGUGGGGAUGACGUCAAGUCAGCAUGGCCCUUAUACCCUGGGCUACACACACGCUACAAUGGGCGGUACAAUGGGUUGCCACCGGGUGACCGGGAGCUAAUCCCCAAAACCGCCCUCAGUUCGGAUUGCAGGCUGCAACUCGCCUGCAUGAAGUCGGAGUUGCUAGUAAACGCGUGUCAGCAUAGCGCGUUGAAUACGUUCUCGGGCCUUGUACACACCGCCCGUCACGUCAUGAAAGUUGGUAACACCUGAAGUCGAUAGGCUAACCCGCAAGGGAGGCAGUCGCCCAAGGUGGGACUGAUAAUUGGGACGAAGUCGUAACAAGGUA
This 1458-nucleotide ribosomal RNA is filed under the name metagenome. RNAcentral's name for it is "bacterial SSU rRNA". It matches the Rfam family "Bacterial small subunit ribosomal RNA". The record is from RNAcentral.